GUGAGGAAUAUUGCGCAAUGGAGGCAACUCUGACGCAGCCAUGCCGCGUGCAGGAAGAAGGCGCUACGCGUUGUAAACUGCUUUUAACCGGGAAGAAACCCCAGGACGUGUCCUGGGUUGACGGUACCGGAGGAAUAAGCACCGGCUAACUUCGUGCCAGCAGCCGCGGUAAUACGAAGGGUGCAAGCGUUAUCCGGAUUCAUUGGGUUUAAAGGGUGCGUAGGCGGAGCGUUAAGUCAGUGGUGAAAUCCUGCAGCUUAACUGUAGACUUGCCAUUGAUACUGGCGCUCUUGAGUGCGCUUGAAGUGGGCGGAAUGUGACGUGUAGCGGUGAAAUGCUUAGAGAUGGCACAGAACACCAAUUGCGAAGGCAGCUCACUAAGGCGAUACUGACGCUGAGGCACGAAAGCGUGGGGAUCGAACAGGAUUAGAUACCCUGGUAGUCC
Molecule: ribosomal RNA, 445 nt
Filed under: uncultured bacterium
Lineage: Bacteria
Description: partial 16S ribosomal RNA
Rfam family: Bacterial small subunit ribosomal RNA
Source: RNAcentral